Molecule: ribosomal RNA, 251 nt
Filed under: uncultured prokaryote
Description: partial 16S rRNA
Rfam family: Bacterial small subunit ribosomal RNA
Source: RNAcentral
ACGGAGGGUGCAAGCGUUAUUCGGAAUUACUGGGCGUAAAGGGCGUGCAGGCGGGAGAGCAAGUCUGAUGUGAAAGCCCGGGGCUUAACCACGGAAGGGCAUUGGAAACUGCUUUUCUUGAGUUCGGGAGAGGAAGGUGGAAUUCCCGGUGUAGAGGUGAAAUUCGUAGAGAUCGGGAGGAACACCAGUGGCGAAGGCGACCUUCUGGAAAACUACUGACGCUGAGACGCGAAAGCGUGGGGAGCAAACAG